CCUACGGGAGGCAGCAGUGAGGAAUAUUGGUCAAUGGGCGGAAGCCUGAACCAGCCAAGUAGCGUGCAGGAUGACGGCCCUACGGGUUGUAAACUGCUUUUAUACGGGAAUAACGCGCCUUACGUGUAGGGCUUUGCAUGUACCGUAUGAAUAAGGACCGGCUAAUUCCGUGCCAGCAGCCGCGGUAAUACGGAAGGUCCGGGCGUUAUCCGGAUUUAUUGGGUUUAAGGGGAGCGUAGGCCGCAUGUCAAGCGUGCUGUGAAAUGUCCGGGCUCAACCCGGGCCUUGCAGCGCGAACUGGCGUGCUUGAGUCCGCGGAAAGCAGGCGGAAUUCGUCGUGUAGCGGUGAAAUGCUUAGAUAUGACGAAGAACCCCGAUUGCGAAGGCAGCAUGCUGCAGCGGAACUGACGCUGAUGCUCGAAAGCGCGGGUAUCGAACAGGAUUAGAUACCCGAGUAGUC
RNAcentral lists this ribosomal RNA (460 nucleotides) under uncultured bacterium. RNAcentral's name for it is "partial 16S ribosomal RNA". It matches the Rfam family "Bacterial small subunit ribosomal RNA", at positions 338 to 795 of the family's 1533-position model. The record is from RNAcentral.